Molecule: long non-coding RNA, 596 nt
Filed under: Cyanistes caeruleus (blue tit)
Lineage: Eukaryota; Metazoa; Chordata; Aves; Passeriformes; Paridae
Description: lncRNA (ENSCCEG00000014620.1)
Source: RNAcentral
CUGGAAAGCAUGACAGAAUACUUCCUCAAAGGCAAGUGAUGGUGCAAGAAUUCCACUAGACAUUACUUUAAUGGAAAAAAAAAUCCAAAACCCAGUGCACUGGGAUGUCUGCUUUAAGGGGGAUUUGAAUGCUAAUAUCUGCAGACUGCAUCCUCCUUUGCGUUUUUGGAUAAACCUGUUACCCUGUUGAUUCCAGACCUGGUGAAACUCCAAUUACUUCAUUAGGUAAUGAAGUGCCAUGUUUCAAGCAGCUUUUUGAUUGCUUUCUGGUGUAAUGAUGCAGGACCUGAUCACAGAGACAGCUAACUCUGCUGAUGUGCUGUGUUAAUAUAAUGCCACCUGAUACCUCAUUUGUUUGGUACAUUAGGUAGCAUACCACAUCAACAAAGCAAAGUGCUCGCAUAAUUUCUAAAAAGAUGGAAUGUUUCAGUGGGAAGCAUGAAUUCAGGUAAAAGCUAUAGAUAUGAAGCAGCGGCAAAAUGCCCCUUGGCUUUGUCUCUUUCACUUUAUGAAACUUGUAAGGUAAUUUAAGACCAAGAAGACCUAUUAAAAAACAUGAACUCAUCCACUAUAAUCUCAGCAUGACAGAAUUCUUG